RNAcentral lists this long non-coding RNA (288 nucleotides) under Theobroma cacao (cacao). Its description in RNAcentral is "long non-coding RNA (TCAC_LNC005684)". The record is from RNAcentral. Lineage: Eukaryota; Viridiplantae; Streptophyta; Magnoliopsida; Malvales; Malvaceae.
GACAGUUUAAUAUGUUGGUCAGACAUGCUUUGACAGGGAAAGAUUAUGGGAAUCCAACGACAAAAGAUGGAGUUUUUCAAAAUACAGAAACAUUGAGAUGUAUUGACAUAUUUCAGCAACUUAUAAUGUCUUGGUUCAACCUCCAACUCGAAACUACUCAUCCUUUUUAUUUUGUUUUUGUGUUUGACUGAGACUGAAACCUGCCUUCAUUGAACCCAGGAGAAACUUAGACCAUUAUCUGUUCCACACGCUCUCUUCAAAAGGUGGUCCCCCAUGCCAAACCUUUCC